Molecule: RNA transcript, 4100 nt
Organism: Lycium barbarum (goji berry)
Lineage: Eukaryota; Viridiplantae; Streptophyta; Magnoliopsida; Solanales; Solanaceae
Gene name: disease resistance protein RPV1-like
Exons: 5
Source: RefSeq, a predicted model, not a curated record
GAAAUGAAAUAAAGGUUCUUUUGACUUGCGGACCUUUUCUUCAAAAAGGUCUUGAGGAAAUUGCCUUGCAAGUUCUUAUAAGACUAAUGUGUACGCCUAUAAGUAGUCAUUUGGUACAAAAGUAGCCUGAACAUUUUUAGAUCUAACCCUUCACCCAUGGCUAAUAUGUAUUCACCAUGUUAUGAAGUUUUCUUAAAUUUUAGGGGCAAAGACAUACGCAAAACUUUUUUAGAUCAUCUCUAUAAAGCAUUAGCUGAUGCUGGAAUUAAUGUAUUUAGAGAUGAUGAUGAACUUCCAAGAGGUGAGGACAUUUCACGGAGUUUACUGGAAGCAAUUGAAGAGUCGACGAUUUCUCUUGUUGUUUUCUCCAAGAGUUAUGCCUCAUCUAAAUGGUGUCUUAAUGAGCUGGUCAAAAUUCUUGAAUGUAAAAAAAAACUUGGCCAGUUCAUUUUACCUAUUUUUUAUGAUGUUGAUCCUGCUGAAGUACGUCAUCAAACUGGGAAAAUUGGUGAAUCCCUUGCCAAACAUGAAUCAAAUUCGAGUCCAGAACAGUUGAGGAAGUGGAGAGAUGCACUUACUCAGGUUGCAAGUUUUUCCGGAUUCCAUCUUCCAAAUUUUUUCAGCGGUCAUGAAGCAAAGUUCAUCGAAAUGAUUAUCCAGGAGGUAUUGGGUAAAUUAAACCACAGAUAUAUGGAUGUCGCAAGGCAUCCAGUAGGAAUUAGUUCUCGUGCCAGCGAACUUAUAAAUAAGAUGUCAUGGACAGUGUCAACCGAUGCCCAAUAUGUUGGAAUCUGGGGCAUGUGAGGUGUUGGUAAAACUACCUUAGCAAAAACCAUCUUCAAUGAAUGUUAUCAAAAUUUUGAAGGUAGCACCUUUCUUCAUGUUCGAUCACAAGUUUCAAAUGGGGAUAGCGGUAUGGUUGCUUUGCAAAAGAAGCUUCUCAAGGGUACUCUCAGGAAAAAUAUUGAAGUCAGCUGUGUCGAUCAUGGAAUACAAUUGAUUAAACAAAGGCUUCAAUCAAAAAGAGUUCUCAUUGUCCUCGAUGACGUCGAUCAUGUUGGACAAAUAUACUCAUUAGCGGGAGGGAGGCACUGGUUUGGUCCUGGAAGUAGAAUUAUCAUUACCACUAGGGACCAACACUUGCUGAAUUUUUCUACAGGUGAUGUAAAACACGAGGUCAAGUGUAUGACCAAAAGUGAAAGUCUACAGCUUUUCUGUAGGCAUGCUUUUCAAAAUCAUUACCCUCCGGAAGACUUUGUGGAGCUCUCUGAAAGCUUUGUAACGUAUGCAGAGGGGCUUCCUUUAGCACUUGUGGUUUGGGGAUCCAUGUUAUAUAAAAGAAGCAUGGUUGAGUGGAGAAGUGCCCUUGAGGAAUUGAAGCAAAUCCCUCAUGAUUCGAUACUAGAGAAACUUAUAAUAAGCUAUAAUGGGCUCCCUGAUCAUACAAUCAAGGAAGCAUUCCUCGAUAUCGUAUGUUUCUUCGAAGGAUGGGACAAGGAAGAUGCUUCUAAAGUCCUUAGCAGUUGCGGUUUCUUCGCUGAAAUAGUAUUUAAUGUAUUGAUCGAUAAGUGUUUAGUAACAAUAAAUGAAUCUAAUCGACUGAGCGUGCAAAAUCUGAUUAGAGACAUGGGAAGAGAAAUUGUUCUUAGAGUAUGCAAAGAUCCAGCUGAGCGUAGCAGAUUGUGGCUUCCCGAAGAUAUUCGUGAUGUGCUUACUGGACACAAGGGAGGGGAAAAAGUUGAGGCAUUGAAGCUAGAACAACCAGUGUUUAAGGACAUGCGUGUGAGUACAAAAGUAUUUUCAAAAAUGAAGAACCUGAGACUCCUCCAGAUUGAUCAUCUUAAUCUUCAAGGAAGCUUCAAGGACAUGUUUAAGGAGCUUAGAGUGUUAAAAUGGAAUCCUUUCCAUCGGAUUUGCACCCGGACAAACUUGUUAGUUUGGAUAUGAGCCACAGCAGCCUCAAAGUGUCCCCUUGUACAAAGCACUUAAGGUGUUUGGAGAUUUUGGAUCUGAGCUAUUGUGAGAGCCUAACGAGAACUUCAAACUUCACUGGUUCACCAAUGCUUAAGAAACUAUCGUUUAGAGGUGGUUCGAGUUUGACUAAGGUGGACUCAUCAAUUGGAUAUUUGGAGGUUCUUGUAGAAUUAGAUUUCACGGGGUGUAAGAAUGUUCGGAGACUACCAGAAAGCAUCUGCAAGCUGAAAUCGCUUGAGAAGCUAUAUCUGAGUGAUUGUACAAAUCUACAACAAUUGCCUGCUGACUUGGGGAAUCUGAAGCGCUUGACGGCACUUUAUGCAAUGAGAACAGCUAUUACACAACUACCAGUGUCUUGUGGACUUCUGAAGAAUCUUCAACUCUUGGAAGUGGGAAAUGGCUGCAAACUUUUACAACCUAAAUCUCGUCUUUCUAUCAUUUCAUCCUUUCUAGUAUCGAAAGAUCGUGAUAUUCUUCCGUCUUCUAUUACAAAUUUACCGUAUUUGGAAGUUCUAAAAGUUUCUUUCUUCAAUCUGUACCAAAGAGAUAUUCCCAAUUGUCUUGACCGAUUAUUCUCACUGAAAGUCCUAGAUUUAAGUGGAAAUAACUUUCACAGCCUACCCUUCACUCUUUGUCACCUAUCCAAGUUAAAAACCCUUAGCCUCUAUGGAUGCCCGAAUCUCCUUAUGCUCUCAAAUCUUCCUUGUAACCUAGAAGCACUAUCCACAAGGAAUUGCAUGUCACUAGAAAGGCUUCCAGAUUUGUCAAGCGCAAACAGAUUGCAACAGUUGGAUUUCCAUGAUUGCAGGAAAUUGGUUGAAAUUCGGGGCCUUGAGAAACUUAAAUACUUGAAGUAUAUGAAUGCAAUAGGUUGUAUUCUCACAAAAAAUGCUCUAGCUGAAGGCUUCUUCAAGGCAAAUUAUGCACCUGAAGGCGUAAAUGUUUUUCUUCACUGAAAUGAGAUUCCUAGUUGGUUUAGCUAUCAGGUUGUAGGAUCUUCAAUAUCUUUGAUUGUUCCACGAUAUGGGGAACAAGAAUUCCUUGGCAUGGUUGUUUGGGCUAUUUGUGAACCUCAAGGAGAACAUUUUGUUGGAACCCCCAUUGCUAUAAUCACUGACCAGACAAAUGAGAUUGAAUAUCCUCUUUUUGGUGUAGAUAUUUCAGUACGGUAUGAGAGUUAUGCGUGGGUGAGCUAUAUGCCAAAACGACAUUUCAAACGCCCAAUAAAAGGCGGUGAGAAAAUGAUGGUUUCUAUCAAAGAGCGUCAUUCAUCAAAGGAAGGUUUAGCAAAGAAGUUUGGGGUUCAUCUUUUGUUUGCAACCAGCCCAAAAGGAAAGUCAUUUCCUUUUAGCAGAUUGUGACAGAGAUGAUGGAGUUGAGGCCUUGCUUUUGGUUCAGGUUCAAUAUUUUUCCAACUUUUCUUGGGAUGCUGGGGUUUUAACAAAAAUUCAACCAGAGAACAAUUGUUGUGUGUAUGAACUCUGUAAGGCUUCCCUACUUCAUUCUGAUUAUAUGUGGAGCUUCUAGUUUUUUACGGUGGAUAUUGUGGUAGCAGUUGAAUGAUAGGUUCUUUUAAAAUUAAAUGUUUAAAAUGUCUAGUUUUUUAAGAUAUAUUAUUUAUGCAUUACAUAAAGAGUUAAUGCCUAAAAUCUCCUCUAAAUUAUGCACGUUUUAUUAGUUUAAUAUUUAAACUAUGAGUUGUUAUUACCCCUGAAACUAUAACAUUUCUUAUCUAAAACCACCUUGUAUUGUUGUUAUCCUCAGAGCUAUAACAUUUCCUAUCUAUAAAACCCCUGCAGUGCCAAAUGGCAUGGAGAAUGAAUGAAUUCUUCUUGUAGUGCGUAGGACCUAUGCCGUAGGCCAAAAGGGUGACUCAAGAGAAUUACUUAACUUAGGGAAUAGAAUUGAGAAUCUAAAUAUACAACUAUGUUAUAUACGAUCUAGAGUGAUAGUAAAAAAAUUACGAUAAUAUUAAAGAGUAAGGGGAAAAAGAUCUAAAAAAACAUCUUUUUCCUAAAAUUACCCUUUCCUUCACUUAAUGUCAUACUUCGUCUCAAUGAAUAUGUGGCAUUUUACAGUUCAUCUUUUAAAAUGUAUUAGUAUUAUUAUUAUUAUUAUUUCUUAUU